AUGCCCUACAGAGGAGUUUGCGAGAUCCAUCAAAACGCCACCUUGAGACAUGUUUACAACCAAACUGGAGGUAUGCCUGGAACUAAAAUAAGACGACUUUACUACGAACAUUUUCAUGAACACCCAACUAAGGUUCAUGAAUAUAAAGAGCCUGUCUUCGGGAAGGGAGCAGAUGAAGCUGGGUGUUUGGCAACUCAAUACAUAUCAGAUGUCUAAGAUGAGUUCCUCACAUUAUAAACAAAAGGGAGGAGACUAAGGUUUUGAACUGCGCCUCUGAAAAGCUCAUCUGAGAGUCUUACAGUCAUCAGAAUUCAUUCAAGAGGAAAGCAAGCAUGGCAAAACUAUAACUCAGUAAAGCACUGCGCUUUAAAAUAUGACUUAUUUCAGAACUGCAGAUUGUAUACAUGUUCUUUUCAUCCCAACUUCUGUGAACCUAACGCUUACAUAAGGACAAUGGAAACCAAGUAAAACUUACUUCAAGGGGCUGGAGAUUUAGCUCAGCGGCACAGCGCCUACCUGGCAAGCACAAGGUCGUGAGUUUGAUUCCCGGUACCAGAAAAAAAUUAAAAAAAUAAAACUUACUUCAUGCCUAUCAUUUUCCAAACAAUGUAUGCAAGUAAAACAUGGUGUCGUGGUAGAUGAGAGAAGAGCACUAAGAGCUAUAGGCUUCAAACUGUGUAUCAUGGUACCACCAUGUACCACUACUAAUAAAGAACUUAUAGGAGCACUAUAGAAUAUUUUCACUUUACAAAAAAGAAAAAAAUAUAUAUAUAUACAACAAGUGUUGAUCAGAUGGUGAACUACAACACAAAUUAGUUCAGAGUGCCAGGACUACCUUAUACUACACUCAUAUCUAUGACAUCACUAUCUUUGCAAAACUGGAUCUUCAGUAGUUAUUAGGUAAAAAGCAAUCACACUAGGGGCUGGGGAUUUAGCUCAGUGGCAAAAGCGCCUGCCUGGCAAGCGCAAGGUCGUGAGUUCGGUUCCCGGUACCGGAGAAAAACCAAAAAAAAAAAAAACCAAACAAAAAAGCAAUCACACUAAAAUGAACGUGGAAUGAGAAAUGAGGAUAGCAAUGUCCAAUCUGUUUGCAGUAUUGGAAAAGUACACAGUGCCCAGGAGGCAAACACAUCUCAUUAGUAAUAGUGAUUAUUUUAGAAUGAAGUUAAAAUAGUGGUGUUCGCUUUCACUUUUAUCUAUUUUAAAGAGCUGCAAAGUUAUUAGUAUAUAAAUAUUUGUUUGAUUUCAACUAUGUAAUGAAGUGAAGUAUUAGGUAUUUCUUUAGAACCAGAGUGACAGUGAAAAAAUACUGACAUACUAACAGACAUUAUGAAUCAAGAAAAUCUGACAACUUCUGGCAUCAAGCCUUACAACCUGAUUACGUCUCAUUACACAAAACUAACCUAAAUAAAAGCACUGGAUAAAUAAAGGAAAAAAAUAACAAAAGUGACUGAAAAUGUACUUUUCCAAUUAGUUCCUGAAGAAUCUAGAACCACAGAAACAGAAAGACUCUGGACUUACUGUGAGCAAAAUCAGUAGUCCCCAUGUCAAUACCAAGUAAGUCAGCAACUUAAAUUGAGUUUGCCCUCUUAAAAGGAAGCACGUGAGAAGGAAGCAGUGAGACAACCUGAGAAAAGAGGACCUGGCAAAAGAGAUUUGCUACUAAGGUGGCAAAAACAAAAAUAAACCUUUGCACUGCUUCACACACAAGAUUUUUUUUAAUGUAAAAGCCAAAAUUCAUCUAAAAGUAAGAUUGCAAACUAGAGGAAAAAUUGUUUUUUUUAAAUAGCAAGAAGAUUCAUAUUACUUUG
RNAcentral lists this long non-coding RNA (1811 nucleotides) under Chinchilla lanigera (long-tailed chinchilla). RNAcentral describes it as "lncRNA (ENSCLAG00000024357.1)". The record is from RNAcentral. Lineage: Eukaryota; Metazoa; Chordata; Mammalia; Rodentia; Chinchillidae.